AGCCUUGGUUGUCUCAUGAACUGUGUAGCGUAAGCGGGCUGCCAUUGUUUUUCAUUGGGUUGGAAAGUCCGCCCCUUCGAACGUGCUGAGCGAUGCACAAUCGAGGAGGGAGGGUUGUAUAUGGAUGUUAACUGGCAGUUUGAACAUAUCAGAUAUGUCCGCGGAUAAACGGGUCUUCAUCUAACCUGCGAGGUCAAGUGAGGUCAGCCAUGCAGGGUCCAUGCAACUGUGUUCCUGGCCUCUGGCCUUGCUUCGAUAUAAUGUGCCAGAUGCAACUGAUGAAGCAGUGUUUGACAAUCAGGAUAACUUUAUAAAUCAAAAUAAAAUAAAUCAAGUAAAAGAC
RNAcentral lists this small RNA (343 nucleotides) under Histoplasma ohiense. RNAcentral's name for it is "hypothetical lncRNA". The record is from RNAcentral. Lineage: Eukaryota; Fungi; Ascomycota; Eurotiomycetes; Onygenales; Ajellomycetaceae.